Oncorhynchus masou masou (cherry salmon) is the source of this 206-nucleotide long non-coding RNA. RefSeq lists it as uncharacterized. The transcript is spliced from 3 exons. The record is from RefSeq and is a predicted model, not a curated record. Lineage: Eukaryota; Metazoa; Chordata; Actinopteri; Salmoniformes; Salmonidae.
UUCCCGAGUUGUUUGAACAAGUUAAGUGUCGGGAACUCGCUCAAAUCCGAAUCGUGGAAUCUAUUCAUCACAUGGUUAAACCAAAGUACACACAGAGUCCUACAAGAUGUUCGCUGUACCCUGCAAUCACACCUGCAACCAUGUACAGUUGGACUCCGAGAUUCUCCGUCCUCCAUCGCUAGGAUCCAUCAAAUCAAAUGUCAUUU